This 27-nucleotide non-coding RNA is filed under the name Rattus norvegicus (Norway rat). Lineage: Eukaryota; Metazoa; Chordata; Mammalia; Rodentia; Muridae. The record is from RNAcentral.
UUAGAGGGCAGAUUUGGUGGAGAGAGU